Molecule: small nuclear RNA, 78 nt
Filed under: Tinamus guttatus (white-throated tinamou)
Lineage: Eukaryota; Metazoa; Chordata; Aves; Tinamiformes; Tinamidae
Description: U4 spliceosomal RNA
Rfam family: U4 spliceosomal RNA
About the family: U4 small nuclear RNA (U4 snRNA) is a component of the major U2-dependent spliceosome. The structure of U4 snRNA from yeast and human has been reported.
Source: Rfam by way of RNAcentral
AGUUUUGCGCAGUGGCAGUAUCGUAGCCAAUGAGGUUAAUCCGAGGCGCAAUUAUUGCUAAUUGUUAAAAUAUUUUUG